AGCUUUUUGAAUCUGUGUUGAGAUUUCGUCCGACACCAAUCCAUUAGGGCUGAUCAGAGUCUCAAGAUAAGUGAAGUU
This is a non-coding RNA of Schistosoma margrebowiei, 78 nucleotides long. Lineage: Eukaryota; Metazoa; Platyhelminthes; Trematoda; Strigeidida; Schistosomatidae. The record is from Rfam.